RNAcentral lists this long non-coding RNA (1436 nucleotides) under Mus musculus (house mouse). Its description in RNAcentral is "predicted gene 42865". The record is from RNAcentral. Lineage: Eukaryota; Metazoa; Chordata; Mammalia; Rodentia; Muridae.
AGGAUUCUACCAGCCUUUCAAAGAACACACAGCAGCGUUCCUCAAACUGUAAUGUAAAAUAUGAAAGAGGGAGCAUUUCUAGAGUCUUCAGCCAGGGUGCCCUGCAAAGCCGCCCUUGUGUCCUCUCCCAACAACUUUGACUCAAGUUCCUCGAGACAGGCUGUUGUCUGACAGAGUCUGUCUAGGACCCAGGAGAGCCACCACAGCCAAGGGAAGACAGAGUUGGAACUUACUGCAACACUCACCUCCAGAGAACCCCGCUGGCUGCAGAAACUCUCAGUCUAGAAGUUCUACAGGACUGAACAUGGUAAUCCCAGGGACAGCCACCACUGAUGGGCUUCACACUCAAAAGACCAGGCAAGAAGCCACAUUUGUGACUGAUGACAUCCAGUGAACCAGAAGGGCAGGGGAAUUAUACAGAACCCUGUGGCUGUAUCCCAGGACAGGGUGUGUAAUGGCUAUUCCUGGUUGUCAACUUGACUAUAUCUGGAAUGGACUACAAUCCAGAAUUGGAAGACACACCUGUGAACCAGAUCUUGAGGCUGGAAGAUACAAGUGUCUGACCUGGAUCUUGGCAUGGAGAUCUUGAGGCAUAGUGGCCAUGAAAAGCUUAGGCCCAGACAAGGUGGUACAUGCCUUUAAUCCCAGGAGACUGUGGCAAGGAGGUCUCUGAGUUCAAGAUCAACCUGGGACAAAGCAAAUCCCAGAUCCGGGCAUUGUCGUGGUAUAUACCUUUAAUCUGGGCCACACUUUCUGCUGGAGGCCUAAACAAGGACAUUGGAAGAAGGAAGAUUCGCUCUUCUUCCCCUGCGUGCACUUACUAGCCAGCACAUCUGUCGGAACCUACUUCUACAGAAGACCAGCUGAAACACCCAGCCUCGUGGAACUGAGCAACUACUGGAUCCUUGGACUUCCCAUUCACAGCUGGCCAUUGUUAGGUUAGUCAGAAUGCAGCAGACUGUGUAAGUCAUCACAAUAAAUUCCGUCAGUAUAGAGAGACAUUCCAUAAAUUCUGUGACUCUGGACAACCUUGACUAAUACAGGGUAGAUGGCUGGAACUCACACAGAAUUUUCUUGUGCUUAAAGCAACCCACAGGCAGCCAGCAGGUGGUCAGCCUUCAGCCUUUGUAUUAAGACCCACCUCCUCACCCACUGUUGCCAGAUGAAUUGAACAACAGGGAAGAUAAUUCCAAUCACAAACCAAUGUGAGUUAUAUUUGAUGUGUUUCCCAUCUGAUAUCUGAGAGAUACUUAAACUAAUGUUUUUGUAUGUGAAAUUCAAAUUUGCCUGGGAUUAGAGUUGGGGUUCAUGUUUGCCAUGUAACAGGGCCUCAGAUCUUAGUCCAACCAACUCACGAUGGAAAUACCAUUCAGGCCAUAAAACUUGGAUGACAGGCAGAGUUUAAUGCCAAAACGAAAACAAAGACCUAAUCCAUC